This 262-nucleotide ribosomal RNA is filed under the name uncultured bacterium. RNAcentral describes it as "partial 16S ribosomal RNA". It matches the Rfam family "Bacterial small subunit ribosomal RNA", at positions 524 to 784 of the family's 1533-position model. The record is from RNAcentral.
UACGAAGGGGGCUAGCGUUGUUCGGAAUCACUGGGCGUAAAGCGCACGUAGGCGGAUUGUUAAGUCGGGGGUGAAAUCCUGAGGCUCAACCUCAGAACUGCCUUCGAUACUGGCAAUCUCGAGUCCGGAAGAGGUUGGGUGGAACAGCUAGUGUAGAGGUGAAAUUCGUAGAUAUUAGCUAGAACACCAGUGGCGAAGGCGGCCAACUGGUCCGGUACUGACGCUGAGGUGCGAAAGCGUGGGGAGCAAACAAGGAUUAAGA